RNAcentral lists this ribosomal RNA (491 nucleotides) under uncultured bacterium. Its description in RNAcentral is "bacterial SSU rRNA". It matches the Rfam family "Bacterial small subunit ribosomal RNA", at positions 28 to 511 of the family's 1533-position model. The record is from RNAcentral.
GAUGAACGCUAGCGACAGGCCUAACACAUGCAAGUCGAGGGGCAGCACGAAGUAAGCUUGCUUACUUUGGUGGCGACCGGCGCACGGGUGCGUAACAGGUGUGCAAUCUGUCCAUAAUCGGGGAAUAGCCCAGCGAAAGUUGGAUUAAUGCUCCAUGUGAGUUUUAGAGGCAUCUCUUUAAUUUGAAACGUAAGGAUUAUGGGUGAGCACGCUUCUGAUUAGGUAGUUGGUGAGGUAACGGCUCACCAAGCCGACGAUCAGUAGGGGUUCUGAGAGGAAGGUCCCCCACAUUGGAACUGAGACAUGGUCCAAACUCCUACGGGAGGCAGCAGUGAGGAAUAUUGGUCAAAUGGGGCGAAAGCCUGAACCAGCCAAGUCGCGUGAAGGAUGAAGGUUCUAUGGAUUGUAAACUUCUUUAUUCGAGGGUAAAACAGUGACGUGUCCGCUCUUGCAAGUAUCGAAUGAAUAAGCAUCGGCUAACUCCGUGCCAG